CACAUACUUCCUCCGUCCGGAAAUACUUGUCAUCAAAAUGAAUAAAAGGUCAUGUAUUUAGAUAUGUAUUAGUUUAGAUACAUUCCUUUUUAUUUAUUUUGAUGACAAGUAUUUUGGGACGAAGUGAGUAUGUU
Non-coding RNA from Triticum aestivum (bread wheat), 134 nucleotides. Lineage: Eukaryota; Viridiplantae; Streptophyta; Magnoliopsida; Poales; Poaceae. The record is from Rfam.